GAUGGCUCCCACGUCCAAGGAUGGCAGCAGGCGCGAAAAUUGUCCACUCUUUUGAGAGGAGACAGUUAUGAAACGUGAGUAGAAGGGUCGAGUGUAAAAACCUUGACGUGAAGCAAUUGGAGGGCAAGUUUUGGUGCCAGCAGCCGCGGUAAUUCCAACUCCAAGAGUGUCUAUGGUGGAUGCUGCAGUUAAAGGGUCCGUAGUCGUAGAUGCAAUUAAAAGGUGGUGUUAAAAGCCAUUGAGUUUGUUGAGAGUAGCGGAACGGAUAGGGAGCAUGGUAUAGGUGGGCAAAGAAUGAAAUCUCAAGACCCCACCUGGACCAACGGAGGCGAAAGCGAUGCUCUUAGACGUAUCUGGGGAUCAAGGACGAAGGCUAGAGUAUCGAAAGUGAUUAGACACCGCUGUAGUUCUAGCAGUAAACUAUGCCGACAAUGCUGGGUGUUGCGAGAGCGAUGCUUGGUGUGGGAGAAAUCUUAGUUUUCGGGCUCUGGGGAUAGUACGCUCGCAAGGGUGAAACUUAAAGCGAAAUUGACGGAAGGACACUACCAGGAGUGGAUUGUGCUGCUUAAUUUAACUCAACGCGGGAAAACUUACCAGGGUCAAGUCUAUCGUAGAUUGGAGACAUGAGGUAGACAAGAGUGGUGCAUGGCCGUUGGAAAUUGAUGGGGCGACUUUUAGCUUAAGUGCUGGAACCAGUGAGAUCUUCUAGACAGGUGUUAUUUAGGCACAGGAGGGAGAAGGCAAUAACAGGUCCGUGAUGCCCUUAGAUAUCCUGGGCAGCAAGCGCAAUACAAUAUCUCUUGAGAAGACAAAGCAAUUUGAGAUGAGUAGGAUUAGCUUUUGUAAAUAAGCUAUGAAUGAGGAAUUCCUAGUAACAGUGUCUCAUCAAGGCAUUG
RNAcentral lists this ribosomal RNA (896 nucleotides) under Ecytonucleospora hepatopenaei. Its description in RNAcentral is "bacterial SSU rRNA". It matches the Rfam family "Microsporidia small subunit ribosomal RNA", at positions 261 to 1164 of the family's 1311-position model. Lineage: Eukaryota; Fungi; Microsporidia; Enterocytozoonidae. The record is from RNAcentral.